CAUUAAGGUCUUGGUCUUAAACCCCUUAUUACUUAUGCCCCUAAUUAUACAUGCAAGACUCACCACUACAGUGAAAUAGCCCACUACCACAUUAGUUCUGGAGCAGGUAUCAGGCACUAUAAGCCCACAACACCAAGCACUAAACCAAGCCACACCCCCACGGGUCAACAGCAGUAGAUAAUAUUAGGCCAUAAGCGAAAGCUUGACCUAGCAAGGGGCACUCAGGGCCGGUUAAUAUCCGUGCCAGCGACCGCGGUUAUACGACAGACCCAAAAUAAUACUAACGGCGUAAAGCACGACCAAUAAUUAGUUAAAACACUAGGAACGAAGAUAAACUAGGCCGUAAAAAGCCAUAAGCCACACUAACCAAACCCUAACACCAAACAACUACCACUCGUGAAAGUUAGGACACAAACUAAGAUUAGAUACCUUACUAUGCCCAACUAUAACACAACAAUUAAAUAACCCAUUGUUCGCCAAAUAACUACGAGUAAAAACUUAAAAUUUAAAAGACUUGACGGUGCCUCAAACCAACCUAGAGGAGCCUGUCUAAUAACCGAUACCCCACGAUAAACCCGACCCACUCUAGCCUACAGUCUAUAUACCGCCGUCGCCAGCCUACCUUGUGAAAGAAACAAAGUGAGCCUAAUAGCCCCCACUAAUACGACAGGUCGAGGUGUAACUUAUGGGUGGGAACAAGAUGGGCUACAUUUUCCAACACAGAAAAUACGAAUUAAUCUAUGAAAUAAGAAACUGAAGGCGGAUUUAGCAGUAUGCUGAGAACAAUAUGCCCAGCUGAAACCAACGCAAUGAGGUGCGUACACACCGCCCGUCAUCCCUGUUAAUCAACUAAAAACCAUACAUAAACACAAACCACAACCCAAAGCAGGGCAAGUCGUAACAUGGUAAGCGUACUGGAAAGUGUGCUUAGAUA
RNAcentral lists this non-coding RNA (934 nucleotides) under Elaphe taeniura (beauty snake). The record is from RNAcentral. Lineage: Eukaryota; Metazoa; Chordata; Lepidosauria; Squamata; Colubridae.